This 108-nucleotide small nuclear RNA is filed under the name Jaculus jaculus (lesser Egyptian jerboa). Lineage: Eukaryota; Metazoa; Chordata; Mammalia; Rodentia; Dipodidae. The record is from RNAcentral.
GUGCUUGCUUCAGUAGCACAUAUGCUAAAAUUGGAAUGAUACAGAGAAAAUUAGCAUGGUCCCCGAGAAAAGGAUGACAUGUAAAUUUGUGAAGCAUUACAUAUUUUA